AAACGUAGGAGGCGAGCGUUAUCCGGAUUUACUGGGCGUAAAGCGUGUGUAGGCGGUUUGAUAAGUUGGAUGUGAAAGCUCCCGGCUUAACUGGGAGAGGUCGUUCAAAACUGUCAGACUUGAGAGUGGUAGAGGGAGAUGGAAUUCCGCGUGUAGUGGUGAAAUGCGUAGAUAUGCGGAGGAACACCAGUGGCGAAAGCGGUCUCCUGGCCCACUUCUGACGCUCAGACACGAAAGCUAAGGUAGC
This 247-nucleotide ribosomal RNA is filed under the name uncultured bacterium. Its description in RNAcentral is "partial 16S ribosomal RNA". It matches the Rfam family "Bacterial small subunit ribosomal RNA", at positions 523 to 769 of the family's 1533-position model. The record is from RNAcentral.